Molecule: long non-coding RNA, 240 nt
Filed under: Jatropha curcas
Lineage: Eukaryota; Viridiplantae; Streptophyta; Magnoliopsida; Malpighiales; Euphorbiaceae
Description: long non-coding RNA (JCUR_LNC001206)
Source: RNAcentral
AUCUUCUCGGCCUCCUCGAGCACAGAUCCGGCGGAGGAGUAGAAGUAGUCAUACAGUUUCUGGUAGUCUUUCUUGAUGAGAAAAGCCGGAAGACGGAAGGUGUGGAUGAGGGGCUCUUCGAGAAAAGCCGGAAGGCCAAGGGUAAGUAUGGGAGCUAGCUGAAACAGUACCCAUUUGGCAAUCAGACUAGGUCCAUCAGUCCCAACUUUUGUAUCGACGGGAUCUACACCAAAAUAACAC